Acanthosepion pharaonis is the source of this 97-nucleotide non-coding RNA. The record is from the annotation of a GenBank genome assembly. Lineage: Eukaryota; Metazoa; Mollusca; Cephalopoda; Sepiida; Sepiidae.
AUUGAAACACCAGUUCUCAUACAAUCAGCAAAGUUAACCAACAUUGAGCUUGGUCAGUUCAUAGAUGGGUGACUGCUUGGGAAUACCAGGUGCUGUA